UACGUAGGGGGCAACCGUUGUCCGGAUUUAUUGGGCGUAAAGAGCGUGUAGGCGGUUAGGUAGGUCCGUUGUGAAAACUCGAGGCUCAACCUCGAGACGCCGAUGGAAACCAUCUGACUAGAGUCCGGAAGAGGAGAGUGGAAUUCCUGGUGUAGCGGUGAAAUGCGCAGAUAUCAGGAAGAACACCCGUGGCUAAGGCGGCUCUCUGGGACGGUACUGACGCUGAGACGCGAAAGCGUGGGGAGCGAACAGG
This 253-nucleotide ribosomal RNA is filed under the name uncultured bacterium. Its description in RNAcentral is "partial 16S ribosomal RNA". It matches the Rfam family "Bacterial small subunit ribosomal RNA", at positions 524 to 776 of the family's 1533-position model. The record is from RNAcentral.